Non-coding RNA from Aedes albopictus (Asian tiger mosquito), 58 nucleotides. The record is from Rfam. Lineage: Eukaryota; Metazoa; Arthropoda; Insecta; Diptera; Culicidae.
UAGCCUAGUGGUGAAGGCUAUGGAUCGCCAAUCCGGAGACGGCGGGUUCGAUUCCCGU